AGUGAACAUUUCGUAUAAAAAAAUACGUUUUUUUUGAAUAAACUUCAGUUUUCUGGGAAUAACAUUAUCCAAAUAAAGGAGAUUGUUUAUUAAAAAAAAAGGGGGGAGGAGGGGCAGGAGGAAAGUGGAGCCUGCAGAGUAAAUAUUAUUUAGAGACAUCAGGAUCAAUAGUCCCAUUGUGUGUUGUGCAGAUUUGUCAUAAUGUCUUCUGUCUUAAGGCCAUGACUUAGAAAAUUCUCUGCAGAGGAAGCUAAAUGACAUAAUCUGCCUCAUAAAUAACAGCUGAUGCUGUGGCAGCAUCAUACUGAACUUUAACAAGAAACUGCCCUUCUUUCCUUAAAAAGGGGAUAUGAUUAUAUGAGGAUUUUGAAAAUGUGCAAAUAGCUUGAAAUUUUCCUACUUCAGACCUUGAAAGAUUUGAUAUCUGGUUUGAGCUCUGCUUCUUGGUUCCAUAUUUAUCUGAUACUUAUCUUAGUGUUUCAAUUGACUCUGGGGUUAUUUUUUAUCCUUAUUUCUGCUUCAGUGGCUGAGAGCUUGGUUAGUCAGCUACUUCUACAGGAGGACUUUUCUUACACAAUUCACCAAUUCUUUGGUGUGUGAAGGUUCUGUAAGCAAUGGUAAAUAGCUGUGGGUUGCUUUAAAUGCAAAAAACACAGGUAAAAAUGGUAACCUGUUAGCAUUCAUCAAAUUCUUGGAACCAAAAAAUAAGUUAGCAACUGCAAAAUGCAUAUGAGAAACUCAAAUCUGUAUUUAGUAUUUUUGAACUUUUGGUCUCUGUAUUUCUUUGGUGCGGUUGGAAUUGGGCAAUGAAGUUUAUCAGGCUUAGGUGAGGGCUGCAGUGUACCAGUGUUGCCUCAGCAUUCUGGGCAGGAGGUGGCCAGUUCCUGUGACAGAGCACAGAGGCACAUGUCACACACUCGAGCUGCUGGUGGGAGUGUGAGCUGCAGGAACAUUUGGCAGAUGUGUAGGACAUGCAGCAGGCAGGCUGGAAGACCUUUGGACUUAACUGAGGCAAUUUUCUUGUGGUUCAUGGAUUUGUCUACCCAGACUAUUGAGCUCUUUAAUGAAAUGCUGUUUGUUCCUUCAGUAAUAGCAGGUAUUAUUGUAAGUGAUCCAUCAUAUAAUAAUCCAGCAGAAGGGUAAAUGACUAUCUAGCAUUUGACCAUUGUUAUCUGAAUCUCCUGUAAACUCCUUUGCUUCAGUCCCAGGAUCAUUUAGUUUUUUAUAUGUUUAAGAUUUAUUUUGGUUUGCAUAAGCAAGAUCUUCAGGGCAGUGAAUGCUUCCACAGUUUUAUGUGAGGGACAGUUAGUUAACCCUCACUGCAUGAGUUAUUCUCCUACUGCUGGCAAAGAGGUGUCCUGCUGGUAACUGCUUUAAGAACAGCAUUUUGUAUUAUUAUUACGAGCAAGAUGAUGAUGAUCUUCAGCCCUGGAAGGGUUUGUCCUCUGCCUGGUUACCGGAGAGCUGAGAGAAGAAAGUCUUGGCAGUACAGAGGAGGACUGGAUUUGAACAUAGCGUUUGGCUCUGUGGCCGGGCAUGGCUGUGUCUGCCAAGUACUUGUAACAACAGCAAGUUACUUCCUAGAACUUUUCUCCUUUCCUUAAAAAAAUUCCAGAAAGUUGCUGGUAUUAAUAAGGAAGAAAAAGGGUUCUAGUCUUUGGGCCAUGUAAUUGAGUAUGGGAGAUAAACAUCUGUGAAUGUAUUAUGCUCUGUUAUCUCACAUACAUAAAUUCAGUAUACUCUGGUUUGAAUACUCAGCUGGUGGAAUAAUCUAUCAAACAGGCAAAUAUGACAAGCUGAUGGAUUUAUUAAGAGUUGGUAUAAGGUAGUUGUGACCAAGCACGCAGUUUCAUCAGCACACUCCAAGUGGUGCUUUUGUUAGUGCUCUUUCAAAUGUGUUAUUGCCAUUUUACACCCUGUGGUAGCUGACAAUAGUCCGUAUUAUGUUGUGUAAGGCUAGCUCAGGUGUUGGCUUUAUGUAUUUUCUGGGAAUCAAAGUGAUGUAUGCGUGGCAACUUCUGUGUUCUUGAAAUGUUUCUAAAGCAGAGCUUUGCAUGUCCUUGCCCAGCAGGACUGGGCUCCUGCUUGGGGAGAGCAUGAAGCUGGUCAGAGAUAAGAGCCUUACCUCCAUCACUGUGCGCUG
RNAcentral lists this long non-coding RNA (2143 nucleotides) under Cyanistes caeruleus (blue tit). RNAcentral's name for it is "lncRNA (ENSCCEG00000007530.1)". Lineage: Eukaryota; Metazoa; Chordata; Aves; Passeriformes; Paridae. The record is from RNAcentral.